This 510-nucleotide ribosomal RNA is filed under the name uncultured fungus. RNAcentral's name for it is "SSU rRNA". It matches the Rfam family "Eukaryotic small subunit ribosomal RNA", at positions 569 to 1078 of the family's 1831-position model. The record is from RNAcentral. Lineage: Eukaryota; Fungi.
AGCAGCCGCGGUAAUUCCAGCUCCAAUAGCGUAUAUUAAAGUUGUUGCAGUUAAAAAGCUCGUAGUUGAAUUUCGGGGUCAGCAGGUUGGUCGUGCCUCUGGUACGCACUGGUUUCGCUGAUUCCUCCUUUCUGAAGAACUGUAAUGUCAUUAAUUUGGUGUUGCAGGGAAACAGGACUGUUACUUUGAAAAAAUUAGAGUGUUUUAAAGCAGGCUAACGCUUGAAUACAUUAGCAUGGAAUAAUGAAAUAGGACGUUUGAUCCUAUUUUGUUGGUUUCUAGGAUUGACGUAAUGAUUAAUAGGGAUAGUUGGGGGCAUUAGUAUUCAAUUGUCAGAGGUGAAAUUCUUGGAUUUAUUGAAGACUAACUACUGCGAAAGCAUUUGCCAAGGAUGUUUUCAUUAAUCAAGAACGAAAGUUAGGGGAUCGAAGACGAUCAGAUACCGUCGUAGUCUUAACCAUAAACUAUGCCGACUAGGGAUAAGGGUGAUGUUAAUUUUUUAAUGACUCA